This 443-nucleotide ribosomal RNA is filed under the name uncultured bacterium. RNAcentral describes it as "partial 16S ribosomal RNA". It matches the Rfam family "Bacterial small subunit ribosomal RNA", at positions 338 to 795 of the family's 1533-position model. The record is from RNAcentral.
UCUACGGGAGGCAGCAGUGGGGAAUAUUGGACAAUGGGGGGAACCCUGAUCCAGCGACGCCGCGUGAGUGAAGAAGUAUUUCGGUAUGUAAAGCUCUAUCAGCAGGGAAGAAAGAAAUGACGGUACCUGACUAAGAAGCCCCGGCUAACUACGUGCCAGCAGCCGCGGUAAUACGUAGGGGGCAAGCGUUAUCCGGAUUUACUGGGUGUAAAGGGAGCGUAGACGGCGAUGCAAGUCUGAAGUGAAAGGCGGGGGCCCAACCCCUGGACUGCUUUGGAAACUGUAUGGCUGGAGUGCAGGAGAGGUAAGUGGAAUUCCUAGUGUAGCGGUGAAAUGCGUAGAUAUUAGGAGGAACCCCGAUUGCGAAGGCAGCCUUCCGGCGCCCUACUGACGCUGAGGCACGAAAGUGCGGGGAUCGAACAGGAUUAGAUACCCGGGUAGUC